This 580-nucleotide ribosomal RNA is filed under the name uncultured Bacillus sp. RNAcentral's name for it is "bacterial SSU rRNA". It matches the Rfam family "Bacterial small subunit ribosomal RNA", at positions 790 to 1368 of the family's 1533-position model. The record is from RNAcentral. Lineage: Bacteria; Bacillati; Bacillota; Bacilli; Caryophanales; Bacillaceae.
GUAGUCCACGCCGUAAACGAUGAGUGCUAAGUGUUAGAGGGUUUCCGCCCUUUAGUGCUGCAGCAAACGCAUUAAGCACUCCGCCUGGGGAGUACGGCCGCAAGGCUGAAACUCAAAGGAAUUGACGGGGGCCCGCACAAGCGGUGGAGCAUGUGGUUUAAUUCGAAGCAACGCGAAGAACCUUACCAGGUCUUGACAUCUCCUGCCAACCCUAGAGAUAGGGCGUUCCCCUUCGGGGGACAGGAUGACAGGUGGUGCAUGGUUGUCGUCAGCUCGUGUCGUGAGAUGUUGGGUUAAGUCCCGCAACGAGCGCAACCCUUGAUCUUAGUUGCCAGCAUUCAGUUGGGCACUCUAAGGUGACUGCCGGUGACAAACCGGAGGAAGGUGGGGAUGACGUCAAAUCAUCAUGCCCCUUAUGACCUGGGCUACACACGUGCUACAAUGGAUGGUACAAAGGGCUGCGAGACCGCGAGGUUGAGCCAAUCCCAUAAAACCAUUCUCAGUUCGGAUUGCAGGCUGCAACUCGCCUGCAUGAAGCCGGAAUCGCUAGUAAUCGCGGAUCAGCAUGCCGCGGUGAAUA